Long non-coding RNA from Lolium rigidum, 1317 nucleotides. RefSeq lists it as uncharacterized. The record is from RefSeq and is a predicted model, not a curated record. NCBI's taxonomy places the organism in Eukaryota, Viridiplantae, Streptophyta, Magnoliopsida, Poales, Poaceae. The transcript is spliced from 6 exons.
CUGUGUUGCUGUGAUGGCGGCGGGAGGGCACCGAUGACAAAUCAGUGUUUACCUGCCCUGGCUGCUGCUGCCCGCAGUCCAGCCGGAGCUGCUGCCGCUGGCAUCUUCUGGUGGCCACGCCAUCGAGGUUCUACUGCCGGCCACCACUCUGAGCCGCUACUGCAUCGUGAGGAGAAGCACGAGGCUUUUUGCUAAUAACCAGAAUAAUCAGCAUACUGUUGAUAAAAGUGGGAACAUACUCCCUGGCACUAUUAUUGAAUCGAAGCUUUGCCAUCCGACAGAGUUUGAUUUCUAUUUGUGUAGUCAUGCUGGCAUUCAGCUGUAUGGUGUUGCAUGAUUGGAAGUUCUCUCUUUCUAGUAAUGUACUCUGCACCAACUGCAAGGGCAAGGGCUUUAAGUCUGGUGCUUCCAUGAGGUGCCCAGGUUGCCAGGGUUCAGCCAUGAAAGUGUCUAUCUGCAUCUGGAGCCUUCCAUGAUACAGCAGAUGCAGCAGCCUUGUAAACUCUGGCUGCUAGUAGAGAUGCUCUUGUGGUGGGUUUUGUUAGGUUGUGUAUAUAUGGCCAUGUGAUGGCAACUGCUCUGCCCUGCCUUGACAUGAACUGUUUCUCGACAAGCGAUUCAGGUUAGGAGCUUUGAACUCUUCAAAAUUGCAGGUUGGGCUUGUUGAAUGUUUGCAGACUACAAUGACUGCAUCAUGUUAUGCUAUUCAGCUCUUUUAGUAUUCAUGAGGUCGCGAGAACAAACUGAUAGUUGUCUAAAAAAGUCGAGAUCUUGCGCAGCUGUACUGAUUACCAUCGGUACCCGGUAUCUUCCGACUGGUCAUAUUGGCUUGAGUGUUUGAGUUGAGAUAGCCUCAUAAUUUUUUUUGUCAAGGUCAUGAAAUUUUGGAACUCGGCCCUGUUCUGUUGUCGAGAUGAUUUUUCCUGUCAAGCUUGUGAUGAUGCAUAGGUGAUGGAUCCAUGUUUGUUUGGAGUAGCUAAUUCAAACCUGAUGCAACCUGGGUGUCAUUUUGUUGAUUCACCUGUUUGUAAAUAGUAGUAAAUGAGCCACAAUUGCUGCAGUGUUACAUAUGAUUCUGGACAUGAUUUUGUAUUGUUUGAGUCUAUCAAUUUUGCUGGCACUGCUAGUGUUAUUCAUCACCAUGAACAUAUGCAGCAUGUACUGAUAACCAUUGUAUCACGGUAGCUUCCGUUUGGCUCGAGUGGUUUGUGUUCAAAUAGCUUGCUAGUUAUAUUUUUGGCAAUGUAAUGAAAUUUCAGAACUGGGCAUUGUUCUGUUGUGUUGAUUCACUUUGGCCGAUGUGUAGGAGGAUUUACU